GGAGCGAAACCGCGAGGCGGAGCAAAUCUCAAAAAAUUAGUCCCAGUUCGGAUUGCAGGCUGAAACUCGCCUGCAUGAAGUCGGAAUUGCUAGUAAUCGCGGAUCAGCAUGCCGCGGUGAAUACGUUCCCGGGCCUUGUACACACCGCCCGUCACACCAUGGGAGUCGGUAACACCCGAAGCCUGUAGUCUAACCGUGAGGAGGACGCAGUCGAAGGUGGGAUUGAUGACUGGGGUGAAGUCGUAACAAGGUAAC
RNAcentral lists this ribosomal RNA (255 nucleotides) under uncultured bacterium. Its description in RNAcentral is "partial 16S ribosomal RNA". It matches the Rfam family "Bacterial small subunit ribosomal RNA", at positions 1246 to 1500 of the family's 1533-position model. The record is from RNAcentral.